Molecule: ribosomal RNA, 809 nt
Rfam family: Bacterial small subunit ribosomal RNA
UGCUGGGUGGAUUAGUGGCGAACGGGUGAGUAACACGUGAGUAACCUGCCCUUAACUCUGGGAUAAGCCUGGGAAACUGGGUCUAAUACCGGAUAGGAGCGCCCACCGCAUGGUGGGUGUUGGAAAGAUUUAUCGGUUUUGGAUGGACUCGCGGCCUAUCAGCUUGUUGGUGAGGUAAUGGCUCACCAAGGCGACGACGGGUAGCCGGCCUGAGAGGGUGACCGGCCACACUGGGACUGAGACACGGCCCAGACUCCUACGGGAGGCAGCAGUGGGGAAUAUUGCACAAUGGGCGAAAGCCUGAUGCAGCGACGCCGCGUGAGGGAUGACGGCCUUCGGGUUGUAAACCUCUUUCAGUAGGGAAGAAGCGAAAGUGACGGUACCUGCAGAAGAAGCACCGGCUAACUACGUGCCAGCAGCCGCGGUAAUACGUAGGGUGCGAGCGUUAUCCGGAAUUAUUGGGCGUAAAGAGCUCGUAGGCGGUUUGUCGCGUCUGUCGUGAAAGUCCGGGGCUUAACCCCGGAUCUGCGGUGGGUACGGGCAGACUAGAGUGCAGUAGGGGAGACUGGAAUUCCUGGUGUAGCGGUGGAAUGCGCAGAUAUCAGGAGGAACACCGAUGGCGAAGGCAGGUCUCUGGGCUGUAACUGACGCUGAGGAGCGAAAGCAUGGGGAGCGAACAGGAUUAGAUACCCUGGUAGUCCAUGCCGUAAACGUUGGGCACUAGGUGUGGGGACCAUUCCACGGUUUCCGCGCCGCACCUAACGCAUUAAGUGCCCCGCCUGGGGAGUACGGCCGCAAGGCUAAAACUC